This 1678-nucleotide ribosomal RNA is filed under the name Salmonella enterica subsp. enterica serovar Heidelberg str. 87-0208. RNAcentral's name for it is "bacterial LSU rRNA". It matches the Rfam family "Bacterial large subunit ribosomal RNA", at positions 1270 to 2925 of the family's 2925-position model. Lineage: Bacteria; Pseudomonadati; Pseudomonadota; Gammaproteobacteria; Enterobacterales; Enterobacteriaceae. The record is from RNAcentral.
UUGCUGGAGGUAUCAGAAGUGCGAAUGCUGACAUAAGUAACGAUAAAGCGGGUGAAAAGCCCGCUCGCCGGAAGACCAAGGGUUCCUGUCCAACGUUAAUCGGGGCAGGGUGAGUCGACCCCUAAGGCGAGGCCGAAAGGCGUAGUCGAUGGGAAACGGGUUAAUAUUCCCGUACUUGGUGUUACUGCGAAGGGGGGACGGAGAAGGCUAUGUUGGCCGGGCGACGGUUGUCCCGGUUUAAGCGUGUAGGUGUGUGUUCCAGGUAAAUCCGGUUCACUUUAACACUGAGGCGUGACGACGAGGCACUACGGUGCUGAAGCAACAAAUGCCCUGCUUCCAGGAAAAGCCUCUAAGCAUCAGGUAACAUCAAAUCGUACCCCAAACCGACACAGGUGGUCAGGUAGAGAAUACCAAGGCGCUUGAGAGAACUCGGGUGAAGGAACUAGGCAAAAUGGUGCCGUAACUUCGGGAGAAGGCACGCUGACACGUAGGUGAAGUGAUUUACUCAUGGAGCUGAAGUCAGUCGAAGAUACCAGCUGGCUGCAACUGUUUAUUAAAAACACAGCACUGUGCAAACACGAAAGUGGACGUAUACGGUGUGACGCCUGCCCGGUGCCGGAAGGUUAAUUGAUGGGGUCAGCGCAAGCGAAGCUCCUGAUCGAAGCCCCGGUAAACGGCGGCCGUAACUAUAACGGUCCUAAGGUAGCGAAAUUCCUUGUCGGGUAAGUUCCGACCUGCACGAAUGGCGUAAUGAUGGCCAGGCUGUCUCCACCCGAGACUCAGUGAAAUUGAACUCGCUGUGAAGAUGCAGUGUACCCGCGGCAAGACGGAAAGACCCCGUGAACCUUUACUAUAGCUUGACACUGAACAUUGAGCCUUGAUGUGUAGGAUAGGUGGGAGGCUUUGAAGUGUGGACGCCAGUCUGCAUGGAGCCGACCUUGAAAUACCACCCUUUAAUGUUUGAUGUUCUAACGUGGACCCGUAUCCGGGUUGCGGACAGUGUCUGGUGGGUAGUUUGACUGGGGCGGUCUCCUCCUAAAGAGUAACGGAGGAGCACGAAGGUUGGCUAAUCCUGGUCGGACAUCAGGAGGUUAGUGCAAUGGCAUAAGCCAGCUUGACUGCGAGCGUGACGGCGCGAGCAGGUGCGAAAGCAGGUCAUAGUGAUCCGGUGGUUCUGAAUGGAAGGGCCAUCGCUCAACGGAUAAAAGGUACUCCGGGGAUAACAGGCUGAUACCGCCCAAGAGUUCAUAUCGACGGCGGUGUUUGGCACCUCGAUGUCGGCUCAUCACAUCCUGGGGCUGAAGUAGGUCCCAAGGGUAUGGCUGUUCGCCAUUUAAAGUGGUACGCGAGCUGGGUUUAGAACGUCGUGAGACAGUUCGGUCCCUAUCUGCCGUGGGCGCUGGAGAACUGAGGGGGGCUGCUCCUAGUACGAGAGGACCGGAGUGGACGCAUCACUGGUGUUCGGGUUGUCAUGCCAAUGGCACUGCCCGGUAGCUAAAUGCGGAAGAGAUAAGUGCUGAAAGCAUCUAAGCACGAAACUUGCCCCGAGAUGAGUUCUCCCUGAGACUUAGAGUCUCCUGAAGGAACGUUGAAGACGACGACGUUGAUAGGCCGGGUGUGUAAGCGCAGCGAUGCGUUGAGCUAACCGGUACUAAUGAACCGUGAGGCUUAACCUUAC